GGAGAGUAGGUAAAUAUUGGUUUGUUGCGGCUUACUGCUAAUGAGUUCUACGACAGUAGUGAAGGUUCGAUUCCUUUGCUCUCCGC
This 86-nucleotide transfer RNA is filed under the name Chryseobacterium indoltheticum. Its description in RNAcentral is "tRNA-Ser(gct)". It matches the Rfam family "tRNA". From Rfam's summary of the family: Transfer RNA (tRNA) molecules are approximately 80 nucleotides in length. Their secondary structure includes four short double-helical elements and three loops (D, anti-codon, and T loops). Further hydrogen bonds mediate the characteristic L-shaped molecular structure. tRNAs have two regions of fundamental functional importance: the anti-codon, which is responsible for specific mRNA codon recognition, and the 3' end, to which the tRNAs corresponding amino acid is attached (by aminoacyl-tRNA synthetases). tRNAs cope with the degeneracy of the genetic code in two manners: having more than one tRNA (with a specific anti-codon) for a particular amino acid; and 'wobble' base-pairing, i.e. permitting non-standard base-pairing at the 3rd anti-codon position. Lineage: Bacteria; Pseudomonadati; Bacteroidota; Flavobacteriia; Flavobacteriales; Weeksellaceae. The record is from RNAcentral.